RNAcentral lists this ribosomal RNA (301 nucleotides) under uncultured bacterium. RNAcentral describes it as "partial 16S ribosomal RNA". It matches the Rfam family "Bacterial small subunit ribosomal RNA", at positions 509 to 808 of the family's 1533-position model. The record is from RNAcentral.
CAGCCGCCGCGGUAAUACGUAGGUCCCGAGCGUUGUCCGGAUUUAUUGGGCGUAAAGCGAGCGCAGGCGGUUAGAUAAGUCUGAAGUUAAAGGCUGUGGCUUAACCAUAGUACGCUUUGGAAACUGUUUAACUUGAGUGCAAGAGGGGAGAGUGGAAUUCCAUGUGUAGCGGUGAAAUGCGUAGAUAUAUGGAGGAACACCGGUGGCGAAAGCGGCUCUCUGGCUUGCAACUGACGCUGAGGCUCGAAAGCGUGGGGAGCAAACAGGAUUAGAUACCCGCGUAGUCCCUGUCUCUUAUACA